Long non-coding RNA from Helianthus annuus (common sunflower), 2608 nucleotides. RefSeq lists it as uncharacterized. The transcript has 6 exons. NCBI's taxonomy places the organism in Eukaryota, Viridiplantae, Streptophyta, Magnoliopsida, Asterales, Asteraceae. The record is from RefSeq and is a predicted model, not a curated record.
UGUGACCCUUCAUAGUAAUGAUGAUAGAUGUGUUGCUGGUUGUGCUUUACAGAAAUAUUAUGUUUCUGCAGCCAUCACUAUGUGUUUUUAUUUGACUAUUGAUGCUUAUGGGAUAUUAAAUAUGUGAUUGAUUUUUGGUGUUUGAACCAAAUGUGGAUCAGAUCAUCAGGGCUGCAAAUCGUCUGAGAAGAAAACACUGAUGGUUUAGGGUUCGGUGUCAGCGAGCCCAGGCUCGUCUUACCAACCAAGCCUCCACGCUUCAUGACUUCAUGUAACCAGAGCCAUCCCUCCUCUUUAAUCGCGAGCCCGACCUUGUCGCCAUUUGGAGUCAAUCCGUAUCCUGAUUCUGUCAUUCCUUGGCUCAAGAAUCUCUCAUCUUCAUCCCUUGCUUCCAAAGCUCCUCAUUUUCACAUCCAGAAUAGCUCCAUGAGUGCACCAGUGACCUCACCAACUGCUCGGUCCCCACCUUGAAAACCAAGAUUUGUGGUUUAAAAUGACUCGAAGAAGAGAUGUUCAUCUAGCAUUAGCAUUGCAUUGCAUUGAAUAAACACACACUCCAAUUUGAGACACUUAAAUCACCACAGAGCACCAAUUUUGAGUCAAAUGGCUUUUUUAAGAAAUAAUUUUGUAAUAUUUCGUAUUUGUUUUGCUAGUGUUCACUAACAAAAUAUUUUUUUAUUUUGUUCAAUUUUUUAAUUUUUAUUUAUUUUUUAUAUAUAUGUAUAUUUUUUUAGCAUUUUUUUAACUCUUCCUUACUUGAACCCAUCCUGAUCCAAACCCAUCCUGACCCAAACCCAUUCUAACUUUUCUUUCAAUUUACCCAUCCUGGCCCAAACCCAUCUUGACCCAACAACCAACCCAACCCAACCCACCCAUUUUGCCACCCCUGGGUAUAAACGGUUCUUGUCAGAACCUAUUGUCAAUUAAGUCUCAAAAUUAACAAGUAAAUAAAAACAAUCAAACCAUUCAAAAAGUAUAACUGAAUGACUUAUGUUUGGUGUGUGUCGUUUUCACUAAAAUCCAUGAAGUCUAUUGAAAGAUCAAGGCAAAAGAGGACACAAUGUUCUGAAACAAUGCUGCAGAAUUUAAAACCGACUUUAAGAGGCCAUAUCUUGGUCAUUUCGAAAUCUUUUUGAGCGGGUUUUAGCCUAAAAUGUAGUACUUUGAGCGGAUUAUUCACCCAAAAAGUUUCGUAACUUUUGAAUACCAUUUGAGCCCCCAAAACGGUUCGCAAAACUGAAUGUCAAAGCUGUCAGCUUUGGACAGAUUUUGCAUCAAAACAGCCAGCUUUGGACAAAUUGUGCAUUAAUUUUAAGGUCUACUAGGGAGCCUCAUAUUGUAUACUAUAUUUACUUAGAUUCAUGCGGGUAAACUAUGAUCUGUUUUGCAUGUUUUAGCAUGUAUACUAUACUGAUUCUCAAAUUUCUUUUCAAUAUUUUAGGUUUGUAGACUCAAAGGUACAUAGACGUGUAAAGGAAAUACUUGAACAAUGUCUUGAUGGAGAUUGGGUCACGUUUAAAACGAUCCCCCAAAACGUAAAGACGCGCAUGUUUGACCGCUUCGGGACUAUGUAUAGGUGGGAUCCAAAAGCACACCAGAGCAUACGUCAUUCGUUUAUUUGUGUGCUCAAGGGUCGAUUUAGAGGCAUAAUGAGCGAUACGAGGAAAAGUUCUAAAAAGAAAGCUUUAAAGGCGAGGGAAGAUAUUCCCGAUGACGGAUACAAUUUUAAGAUACAAUGCAAAUAUCCGCCCAAUGGAGUGCCUCGUAGGAAAUGGGAACGUAUGUGUAUGUCUUGGAACACUAAAGAUUGGGAAAGAAGUCCAAAGCAGGGAGAGAAAACUAGAAGAAUGACUUAUGUCGUCAUACAGACGGGUCCAAAGGGUUUGACGAACACCGUCGCAACUUGGAAAAAAUAAAGGGUAAAAAGGUUGGAUUCGCGGAAGUAUUACUUCAUACCCACGCCACCAAAGAGUGUAAAAAGAGAUUAAAUGAUGGGGAGACCAGUGCAAAUGACUAUGAUAAGUUAGAGUUUGUUACCGAUCGUUCAAAACGUUCAUAUGUCUCCUACAUGAAAAAACUUGAAAAUAAAUAUGGGAACACGGAUUGCGAUGAUAUGGAAGUGUGGGAGAGUCUGCAUCCCGAGUGUCAGGGUCGUCAGUUGUUUGGGGUAGGAUCUUCUGAUCCACAUUUUGUGUUGUCUGGAACAAAAUCUUCCACAGCUAGUGUGUCAGAUACUCGACAAUCGCAUGAGCUCCAAAAAGUUCAAGCUGAACUAGGAAAGGAACGAGAGGCUCGACAAAACAUUGAAGCCCGUUUUGAACAAUUUGAACAAGAGAGGUUACAAGAAAGGGUUGAAUGUGAACGAGAGCGGGAACAAGAACGUGUUGAACGUGAACGAGAGCGGACCGAACAUGCUCGAUGGCAGAAAUACAUGGAAGCAAAGUUUAAUAAAUUCGGAAAAAAGUAAUUUUUUUAUGUAUGUUAAAGAUCAUGUUAGUUUUGUUACAAAAACGUGCAUUUUGUUUUUUAUUCUAAGACUGUAAACAUGUUUUUUUGUUGGAAUCUUUAGGAUUUUCUGCAAUUUAUUUAAAAGAAUUUGGUUUUGAUU